AUUGAACGCUGGCGGCAUGCCCUACACAUGCAAGUCGAACGGUAACAGGUCUUCGGAUGCUGACGAGUGGCGAACGGGUGAGUAAUACAUCGGAACGUGCCCGAUCGUGGGGGAUAACGAAGCGAAAGCUUUGCUAAUACCGCAUAAGAUCUACGGAUGAAAGCAGGGGACCGCAAGGCCUUGCGCGAACGGAGCGGCCGAUGGCAGAUUAGGUAGUUGGUGGGAUAAAAGCUUACCAAGCCGACGAUCUGUAGCUGGUCUGAGAGGACGACCAGCCACACUGGGACUGAGACACGGCCCAGACUCCUACGGGAGGCAGCAGUGGGGAAUUUUGGACAAUGGGCGAAAGCCUGAUCCAGCCAUGCCGCGUGCAGGAUGAAGGCCUUCGGGUUGUAAACUGCUUUUGUACGGAACGAAAAGACUCUUUCUAAUAAAGAGGGUCCAUGACGGUACCGUAAGAAUAAGCGCCGGCUAACUACGUGCCAGCAGCCGCAGUAA
Molecule: ribosomal RNA, 498 nt
Filed under: uncultured bacterium
Lineage: Bacteria
Description: partial 16S ribosomal RNA
Rfam family: Bacterial small subunit ribosomal RNA
Source: RNAcentral